GUCUUGGGGCUGAAGCAAUCUGAACCUAUUCUCAAACUUUAAAUGGGUAAGAAGCCUGGCUC
RNAcentral lists this ribosomal RNA (62 nucleotides) under Ailuropoda melanoleuca (giant panda). RNAcentral describes it as "similar to 28S ribosomal RNA". The record is from RNAcentral. Lineage: Eukaryota; Metazoa; Chordata; Mammalia; Carnivora; Ursidae.